This 433-nucleotide ribosomal RNA is filed under the name uncultured bacterium. Its description in RNAcentral is "partial 16S ribosomal RNA". It matches the Rfam family "Bacterial small subunit ribosomal RNA", at positions 29 to 507 of the family's 1533-position model. The record is from RNAcentral.
AACGAACGCUGGCGGCAUGCCUAACACAUGCAAGUCGAACGAGACCUUCGGGUCUAGUGGCGCACGGGUGCGUAACGCGUGGGAACCUGCCCUUAGGUUCGGAAUAACUCACCGAAAGGGGUGCUAAUACCGGAUAAUGUCUUCGGACCAAAGAUUUAUCGCCUUUGGAUGGGCCCGCGUUGGAUUAGCUAGUUGGUAGGGUAAAAGCCUACCAAGGCGACGAUCCAUAGCUGGUCUGAGAGGAUGAUCAGCCACACUGGGACUGAGACACGGCCCAGACUCCUACGGGAGGCAGCAGUGGGGAAUAUUGGGCAAUGGGCGAAAGCCUGAUCCAGCAAUGCCGCGUGAGUGAUGAAGGCCUUAGGGUUGUAAAGCUCUUUUACCCGGGAUGAUAAUGACAGUACCGGGAGAAUAAGCUCCGGCUAACUCCGUG